UACGUAGGCGGCCUAUUAAGUCAGGUGUGAAAGCGUGAGGCUUAACCUCAUUAAGCACUUGAAACUGGAAGGCUUGAGUGAAGGAGAGGAAAGUGGAAUUCCUAGUGUAGCGGUGAGAUGCGUAGAUAUAGGAGGAAUACCGGUGGCGAAGGCGACUUUCUGGACUUUUACUGACGCUCAGGUACGAAAGCGUGGGGAGCAAACA
This 205-nucleotide ribosomal RNA is filed under the name uncultured bacterium. Its description in RNAcentral is "partial 16S ribosomal RNA". It matches the Rfam family "Bacterial small subunit ribosomal RNA", at positions 568 to 774 of the family's 1533-position model. The record is from RNAcentral.